Molecule: non-coding RNA, 25 nt
Filed under: Arabidopsis thaliana (thale cress)
Lineage: Eukaryota; Viridiplantae; Streptophyta; Magnoliopsida; Brassicales; Brassicaceae
Source: RNAcentral
AAUCACUUGGUAGUCAUUUGAGGUC